Corapipo altera (White-ruffed manakin) is the source of this 1407-nucleotide long non-coding RNA. RefSeq lists it as uncharacterized. The record is from RefSeq and is a predicted model, not a curated record. The transcript is spliced from 3 exons. NCBI's taxonomy places the organism in Eukaryota, Metazoa, Chordata, Aves, Passeriformes, Pipridae.
GCAGUGAGUGGACUAACACAGGGCACAUAGCAGCAGCCAUAUAAAGCCUGCCUGCCUUUGAACUGGCCAGUGUGUGGAGGUGUUGGGGCCCUGAGGUGCUUACAUCCCUGACUGUCCCUGCCCAGCACCCUGAGGUUCUCCCAACACCACCCAAGGCCCAGGACCCCAUGUCAACCUCCUGGGCUGGUUGAUCUCUACCCCACUGAUGUCAUGGCAGGGCUGGUCUCCAGCUCUCUUGCCCAGCCAUGGAUCCCACUGAGCUGGGCCCACCCCUGGGCCUGUGUCCUAGUCUGGCCUCAGCCCAUCCCCAGGAAGUGCCUGGUGCCAGGGACUGGGGCCUCCAUGGUGCACCCCCUGCUCCAUUUCUGACUGGAAUGGAGAGACGGGCCCUGCUGCCAGUCUCUGCCCUGCCUCUCCAGGAGAACCCAUGUGGUCCUGACCCCAGAGGAGUUGCUGACCUAGGUUACUUCCUGACAGAAACUCUAAGGAAUAAAACUAAAGUAUUAUGAUUAUAUACCAUUGUGACUGUUUAAAUGGGAUCAAACCAAUGAAGAAAUUCGGAAUUUUACCAACUUGCUGCUGAAAGAGUAACAAGUCUCCACAGCAAUAUCCACUUACUCCUAUGUUUUGAGGAGACUUGCUUGAGCAGUCCAGAAUUAUUUAAGAGAUGGGAACCAGAAACAUGGAAAAGGCACGGAGGAGUAAGAGGCAAGAGAAGUCCUUGGGCAAUAAGAUGGAUAAGAGACACAUAAUACUCUUCCUUCUGAAUCUGUGAGGAACUCAAAUUCAACUAAUAUAAGUCAUCAGAGAGACUGCAGUUUCUUGAUUUGCAUUAACCCAUGAAAGACUGGAAAAGGCUGUUUAAACUAAACUGUGCUAAUGGACUUGCACAUACAAGGCUAUGGAAGAAACUGGUACAAAAACCCAGACAUCAAAUAUGGACAAACACAAGGAUGUUCUCAGAGAGCUUCUUAAAACAGUCUCAAAGCACUUUAGCACACCAGCUCUUUACACUGAAAUUCUGUGAGCUUGCUAACAUAAGAAGGUUAAUUACUGAUUUCCAGGGGCUGUUUUAAAAGGCCCAAAGUGUCAGUAGUUUCACAUCUGCUAUUAAGCGAACAUAAUGUGUUUCUAAACCAUUUCAUACUGUGGUUUUGUGCUGUUUGUUAUCUAAAAGAUUUGUCAGAUCAUCUAAACCCAGGCUGAUAUGUGAAUACUGACUAUUUUGUUGCUGUAAAGCAUUUUCUUGCGGAAGUUUCAGGUGAAUAUAGUACUUCACUGUAAUACAAAUGUUUCCUAAAUUCUAUUUCAUUAUAUUUGUGAAUUAAAGUAGCAGCAACUCUCUGAAACAUUAAGUCCAUCACUAUUCAACUUGACAGUGAGUUCUUUACUAUUAAAAUUAAUUCA